RNAcentral lists this ribosomal RNA (516 nucleotides) under uncultured microorganism. RNAcentral describes it as "bacterial SSU rRNA". It matches the Rfam family "Bacterial small subunit ribosomal RNA", at positions 9 to 524 of the family's 1533-position model. The record is from RNAcentral.
GAGUUUGAUCAUGGCUCAGGACGAACGCUGGCGGCGUGCUUAACACAUGCAAGUCGAACGAGAAUCUACUGAAAGAGUUUUCGGACAAUGGAAGUAGAGGAAAGUGGCGGACGGGUGAGUAACGCGUGAGGAACCUGCCUUGAAGAGGGGGACAACAGUUGGAAACGACUGCUAAUACCGCAUGAUGCAUAAGGGUCGCAUGAUUCUUAUGCCAAAGAUUUAUCGCUUCAAGAUGGCCUCGCGUCUGAUUAGCUAGUUGGCGGGGUAACGGGCCCAUCAAGGCGACGAUCAGUAGCCGGACUGAGAGGUUGAACGGCCACAUUGGGACUGAGAUACGGCCCAGACUCCUACGGGAGGCAGCAGUGGGGAAUAUUGGGCAAUGGGCGCAAGCCUGACCCAGCAACGCCGCCGUGAAGGAAGAAGGCUUUCGGUAUGUAAACUUCUAUCAGCAGGGAAGAAAAUGACGGUACCUGACUAAGAAGACCCGGCUAACUACGUGCCAGCCGCCGCCGUAAC